RNAcentral lists this ribosomal RNA (495 nucleotides) under Veillonella parvula. RNAcentral's name for it is "bacterial SSU rRNA". It matches the Rfam family "Bacterial small subunit ribosomal RNA", at positions 28 to 492 of the family's 1533-position model. Lineage: Bacteria; Bacillati; Bacillota; Negativicutes; Veillonellales; Veillonellaceae. The record is from RNAcentral.
GACGAACGCUGGCGGCGUGCUUAACACAUGCAAGUCGAACGAAGAGCGAUGGAAGCUUGCUUCUAUCAAUCUUAGUGGCGAACGGGUGAGUAACGCGUAAUCAACCUGCCCUUCAGAGGGGGACAACAGUUGGAAACGACUGCUAAUACCGCAUACGAUCUGACCUCGGCAUCGAGGAUAGAUGAAAGGUGGCCUCUACAUGUAAGCUAUCACUGAAGGAGGGGAUUGCGUCUGAUUAGCUAGUUGGAGGGGUAACGGCCCACCAAGGCGAUGAUCAGUAGCCGGUCUGAGAGGAUGAACGGCCACAUUGGGACUGAGACACGGCCCAGACUCCUACGGGAGGCAGCAGUGGGGAAUCUUCCGCAAUGGACGAAAGUCUGACGGAGCAACGCCGCGUGAGUGAUGACGGCCUUCGGGUUGUAAAGCUCUGUUAAUCGGGACGAAAGGCCUUUUUGCGAAUAGUGAGAAGGAUUGACGGUACCGGAAUAGAAAGCC